This 460-nucleotide ribosomal RNA is filed under the name uncultured bacterium. RNAcentral describes it as "partial 16S ribosomal RNA". It matches the Rfam family "Bacterial small subunit ribosomal RNA", at positions 338 to 795 of the family's 1533-position model. The record is from RNAcentral.
CCUACGGGUGGCAGCAGUGAGGAAUAUUGGUCAAUGGACGAGAGUCUGAACCAGCCAAGUAGCGUGAAGGAUGACUGCCCUAUGGGUUGUAAACUUCUUUUAUAUGGGAAUACAAUGUUCUACGUGUGGGAUUUUGUAUGUACCAUAUGGAUAAGGCUCGGCUAACUCCGUGCCAGCAGCCGCGGUAAUCCGGAGGAUCCGAGCGUUAUCCGGAUUUAUUGGGUGUAAAGGGAGCGUAGGUGGAUUGUUAAGUCAGGUGUGAAAGGUAGCGGCUCAACCGUAAAAUUGCAGUUGAAACUGGCAGUCUUGAGUACAGUAGAGGUGGGCGGAAUUCGUGGUGUAGCGGUGAAAUGCUUAGAUAUCACGAAGAACUCCGAUUGCGAAGGCAGUUCACUGGACUGCAACUGACACUGAGGCUCGAAAGUGAGGGUAUCAAACAGGAUUAGAUACCCGAGUAGUC